UCUCUGUAUUGCAGAUGCCUACCAUCGGGAAGUUAGGUAAAUUUUGCAGUCUCACAGACAGUGGCUUUGGAGAGUCCCAGGCCGUUCUGAUUCCAGAUCUGAAGCGCAUGCUUCUGCCGUUCCUCCUCUAGCCAUCUCCACAUCACUAUGAACACUUUGGAUGCUCUCUGGACCUUCUGAAGCACGGAUGUCUCUUCUGUGACAAAUGUCAGAUAAUGACCUUCAGCCUGAAAAGUUCACUGAGAAAGUCAGUAACAAUUCCUGUCAUUGCUUUGUAUCCCUGAUAAUUGUGCUCAGAAAAGAGCUGACGUGACCAGUGCACUGAAGAUGUUGUUCCUGGUUCUUUUAAAGGGCAUCUCUGUCAAUUUUGCUGCUGUGGACAUCUAUCCUUCCUUA
This is a long non-coding RNA of Lagenorhynchus albirostris (white-beaked dolphin), 396 nucleotides long. RefSeq lists it as uncharacterized. The record is from RefSeq and is a predicted model, not a curated record. The transcript is spliced from 3 exons. NCBI's taxonomy places the organism in Eukaryota, Metazoa, Chordata, Mammalia, Artiodactyla, Delphinidae.